Molecule: unclassified non-coding RNA, 325 nt
Filed under: Hevea brasiliensis (rubber tree)
Lineage: Eukaryota; Viridiplantae; Streptophyta; Magnoliopsida; Malpighiales; Euphorbiaceae
Source: RNAcentral
UUAUAUUAUCACAGCAAGUUUUACAUCACACGGAAACAGAUCUACAAGCAAAGAAAAUACAUUACAACACACCUCAUCGUAAUACUUCUCUCUCUCCUUCACACACACCACACACAGAGCAUAAGCUCUAGAGCAUAUAUAUAUAUAUGCUCUAGAGCUUAUGCUCUGUGUGUGGUGUGUGUGAAGGAGAGAGAGAAGUAUUACGAUGAGGUGUGUUGUAAUGUAUUUUCUUUGCUUGUAGAUCUGUUUCCGUGUGAUGUAAAACUUGCUGUGAUAAUAUAAAUAGUUUGUUGUUGUUGGAAGAAAAAAAAAAAAAAAAAAAAAA